CAAGAAAGACCCAAGAACUGCUA
This 23-nucleotide transfer RNA is filed under the name Petaurus breviceps (sugar glider). Its description in RNAcentral is "partial tRNA-Ser". Lineage: Eukaryota; Metazoa; Chordata; Mammalia; Diprotodontia; Petauridae. RNAcentral also lists the same sequence under 2 other names. The record is from RNAcentral.